UACAGAGGUCCCAAGCGUUGUUCGGAUUCACUGGGCGUAAAGGGUGCGUAGGCGGUCGGGUAAGUCUGAUGUGAAAUCUCACAGCUUAACUGUGAAACUGCAUUGGAUACUAUCCGGCUCGAGGAAUGGAGGGGAGACUGGAAUACUUGGUGUAGCAGUGAAAUGCGUAGAUAUCAAGUGGAACACCAGUGGCGAAGGCGAGUCUCUGGACAUUUCCUGACGCUGAAGCACGAAAGCCAGGGGAGCAAACGGG
Molecule: ribosomal RNA, 253 nt
Filed under: uncultured bacterium
Lineage: Bacteria
Description: partial 16S ribosomal RNA
Rfam family: Bacterial small subunit ribosomal RNA
Source: RNAcentral